This is a long non-coding RNA of Symphalangus syndactylus (siamang), 750 nucleotides long. RefSeq lists it as uncharacterized. Lineage: Eukaryota; Metazoa; Chordata; Mammalia; Primates; Hylobatidae. The record is from RefSeq and is a predicted model, not a curated record.
UUCAUUAAUUGGCAUGGGACAGCCAAUUAAUUGGCUUUUAUUUCCUUUUUUACAUAUAUAUUUGGCAAGAAAUUGGCUUUUAUGUCUAAUCUCUUAAACGUGAGGUUCCUUUCAAAAGAAAUUAAUGUGUAAUUGUGGAAAGAUUAUGAAGGAUUGGCACAUUUUAGAAUUGAUUUUUUUUUAAGCAUAUACAAGAAGAUGUGGACUUCGCUUUGCCUUAGGAUGCAAGCAGGUCUUUUUAAUAUAUUUUUAAGAUAAAGAGAAUCUGUUCAGUAAUAAAACAAACUUCUAAAUUACGCUUUUUUUUUUUUUGGAGACGGAGUCUCCCCCUGUUGCCCAGGCUGGAGUGCAGUGGUGCGAUCUCGGCUCACUGUGCAACCUCCACUUCCUGGAUUCAAGCAUUUCUCCUGCCUCAGCCUCGCAAGUAGCUGGGACUACAGGCGCACACCACCACACCUGGCUGUGAUUUUGUAUUUUGGUAGAGACAGAGUUUCACUGUGUUGCCCAGCCUGGUCUUGAACUCCUGAGCUCAGGCAGAUCACAUGAGGUCAGGAGUUUGAGACCAGCCUAGCCAACAUGGUGGAACUAAUAAUGUAAAACUUAGCCAAGCGUGGUGGCAGACACCUGUAAUCCCAGCUACUUGGGAGGCUGAGGCAGGAGAAUCACUUGAACCUGGGAGGCAGAGGUUGCAGGUGAGCUGAGAUCAGGCCACUGUACUCCAGCCUGGGUGACAGGGUAAGACUCCUCCUC